Molecule: long non-coding RNA, 929 nt
Organism: Mus musculus (house mouse)
Lineage: Eukaryota; Metazoa; Chordata; Mammalia; Rodentia; Muridae
Product: predicted gene, 33189
Exons: 3
Source: RefSeq, a predicted model, not a curated record
AGUCACCUGGGAAGAAUCUCGCUGAGGAAUGGUCUAGAUUAGGCUGGCCUGUGGUCCUACCUGUGAGGAUGUUUUUAACUGGGCAACUGAGGUGGGAAGUCCCACCCUGAGUGCUGGUGCCAUUUCAUGGACUGGGAAAUGGAGGGAAUAAGACGGAGAAAAGAAGCAGAGUCCCGGGAGGUUCACGUCUAUCGCCUUCCGCAUACAGAGUGAGACUGCAUCUAUAGAGUGACUAGCUCUCUCCCGCUCCUACCACUGUGCUUCCCUGCCCUGAUGGAGUAUAACCUGGACUUGUUACUAAGCAUUCACCGAAACCACGCUGUGAGCAUCGGUCCCCCAGAAGAGCAGAGCAAAACGCCAUAUGCACCAGAACAGAAGCCCCCACAGUUCCCAAGGCACACAAAGCUGGCGGGCUACACUCAAGAGUCCAUAUGCACCCUUGUCAUGAGACCACAACGCUCUGCCGAACUUGGAACAGAACUUUCCCUUUCACUUCUAGUUAGCAAAUACAUCACAUACGAAUUGUCAGCGAGUCACAGAACCAACCUUCUGAACCAGGAUAAUUCCCCGAGUUCCAAACCUCAGUCUCCUUAAGUUAGAGAAUAGAGGAGGGAUCUAUCCUGAGAUAGACGACAUCUAUCUCUGGUUAUUCUGCAUACCUCUGCACUACCCUAGAGAUGUCUCUGAAGCUCAGAGGUUUGUGGGGGAAACGCAGUCUGAAAAUCAUGGCAGCCUUUCCUUCGCUUGCUUCCACUGACUUCUGACUCACUUUGAAAGUCUUGGUAGAAUUUUGAGCCUCAGUGAAGGAGGAAAACAGGAAAACAGCUUUCGAUGACUGAAGCGCCUUUGUUGCUUUCAGUGACAGAGGAUGAUAAGAAAGGAAGCCAGGGCUGGUGAGAUGGCUCAGUGGGUAAGAGCACCCGACUGCU